AGAACGAACGCUGGCGGCAUGCCUAACACAUGCAAGUCGAACGAGACCUUCGGGUCUAGUGGCGCACGGGUGCGUAACGCGUGGGAAUCUGCCCAAAAGGUUCGGAAUAACUCGGGGAAACCCGUGCUAAUACCGGAUAAUGUCUUCGGACCAAAGAUUUAUUGCCUUUGGAUGAGCCCGCGUAGGAUUAGCUAGUUGGUGGGUAAAGCUCACCAAGGCGACGAUCCUUAGCUGGUCUGAGAGGAUGAUCAGCCACACUGGGACUGAGACACGGCCCAGACUCCUACGGGAGGCAGCAGUGGGGAAUACUGGACAAUGGGCGAAAGCCUGAUCCAGCAAUGCGCGUGAGUGAUGAAGGCCGUUAGGGUUGUAAAGCUCGUUUACCGGAUGAUAAUGACAGUACCGGAGAAUAAGCUCCGGCUAACCGUCCGCGACCAGCAGCCGAC
Molecule: ribosomal RNA, 446 nt
Filed under: uncultured soil bacterium
Lineage: Bacteria
Description: bacterial SSU rRNA
Rfam family: Bacterial small subunit ribosomal RNA
Source: RNAcentral